This is a non-coding RNA of Triticum aestivum (bread wheat), 131 nucleotides long. Lineage: Eukaryota; Viridiplantae; Streptophyta; Magnoliopsida; Poales; Poaceae. The record is from Rfam.
UAAGUACUCCCUCUGUCCCAAAAUAUUUGUCAUCAAAAUGAAUAAAAAAAUAUCUAAAACUAAAAUACAUCUAAAUACAUCUUUUUUUAUCCAUUUUGAUGACAAGUAUUUUCGGACGGAGGGAGUACUUA